GAAGAUAUAGCUCCGUGUAGGGCACGUGCUUAGCACACACAAGGUCCUGGGUUCAACCCCCAGUACCUCCA
This 71-nucleotide transfer RNA is filed under the name Camelus ferus (Wild Bactrian camel). It matches the Rfam family "tRNA". Rfam says of the family: Transfer RNA (tRNA) molecules are approximately 80 nucleotides in length. Lineage: Eukaryota; Metazoa; Chordata; Mammalia; Artiodactyla; Camelidae. The record is from Rfam by way of RNAcentral.